GCCUGGAACACAAUGAUUGAGGAAAUGUGUGGUACAAGUCAGAAAGGGAAGCAGGGGUCAGAUCACAUGGGGCCAUAUAGAGUGGGGAAGGGAGUUUGGACUUUAUUCUAAAUCCAAUGGGAACCUGCUAAAGAAUUUUAAGAAGAAGAACAACCCGCAGGCCCUGCACGGCUAACUGACCAGCGCACGCCAACACUGCCCCCAACUUUGUGUAACUGACGGUCUUGCGGCUUCAUCCAGAUGAGGAAGUGGAGGCUCAGAGAGUGACUUUACCUGGGCUCUAGUCCUAGGUCACAGUGGAAUCAGAAUUCGAAUCUCCUCUGCUGGCCUCCAUACUUCCAGCUGCACUCCAUGCCUCCAAGCCCAGAACUAGAGAAGUAGCAGAAGGAAUAGGAAGGAGGGCACAGAUAUGAGGAUGCUCCCAAAGAACAGAAUUUGGUGAGUAAUUAGGUGGCAUGGGUGGGGAAGAGGAGAGGACAGGAGGAAUCAAAGACAACUGAAGCCUCAGCCUGAGCACUGAGGAGAUGGUAAUAAUGUGUUUACCUGGGAUACACAAGACAGAAGAAGCAGAGUUUGGGGAACAGGUGAUGCAUUUGAAUUUGGAUGUGUUGAAUUAGAAUUGAUGUUUAGCAAGCAGCGUAAACUUGGCUGUAGGUGAGCAGCAAUUGUCUCACACUUAGAGUUAGAGGGUCAUCAGUGACCUCCUUGGGAGCAGGGACCUCUGCAAAGCAUGUGGCGGGUGGGAGUAGGACCACAGCGGGCCAGGAAAGAAUGCAGAUGUGCUGGCAGAAGCACAAAUGCACGCUCUUCCCUUGAGAAAUUAUCAUUGAAAAGAAGGAAGGGCUAGGAUAGAAGCAGGACGGGAGAUGCACAGUUGGAAGAAAGCUUUUCUUUCUAGAAUGAAGGGUGUCGGUCUGUUUGUGAGCAGAGAGAACAGUGCUGUGGAGAAGAAGCUAGGCUACAACAAAGAAGGACGGUUUUCCUCUGGGACAGGAGGGAAGGAAAGGAGGCCAGAGUGAAAGGAGAGAGAAAACGUGAAAAUUGCAUUUCUUGAUAUACUUGGGCAGGUUUCUGAGAGGUAAGAUGAUAGAUGCAAUAGAAGUGCAAGGGUGUGCUAUUGCUGGAGGAGAGUGGGAAAGGUUUG
RNAcentral lists this long non-coding RNA (1144 nucleotides) under Equus caballus (horse). RNAcentral describes it as "lncRNA (ENSECAG00000055113.1)". Lineage: Eukaryota; Metazoa; Chordata; Mammalia; Perissodactyla; Equidae. The record is from RNAcentral.